RNAcentral lists this transfer RNA (73 nucleotides) under Marmota monax (woodchuck). RNAcentral's name for it is "tRNA.Ile". It matches the Rfam family "tRNA". Rfam says of the family: Transfer RNA (tRNA) molecules are approximately 80 nucleotides in length. Their secondary structure includes four short double-helical elements and three loops (D, anti-codon, and T loops). Further hydrogen bonds mediate the characteristic L-shaped molecular structure. tRNAs have two regions of fundamental functional importance: the anti-codon, which is responsible for specific mRNA codon recognition, and the 3' end, to which the tRNAs corresponding amino acid is attached (by aminoacyl-tRNA synthetases). tRNAs cope with the degeneracy of the genetic code in two manners: having more than one tRNA (with a specific anti-codon) for a particular amino acid; and 'wobble' base-pairing, i.e. permitting non-standard base-pairing at the 3rd anti-codon position. Lineage: Eukaryota; Metazoa; Chordata; Mammalia; Rodentia; Sciuridae. The record is from RNAcentral.
GGGUGUGGCUCAGUGGCAGAGUGCUGGCCUUAUAUGUAUGUGCAAGGCCCUGGGUUCCAUUCCCAGCACCACA